GAGUAACACGUGAGUAACCUGCCCCCUUCUCCUGGAUAACCUCAUGAAAGUGGGGCUAAUACGGGGUAUUCUGGCCUGCUCGCAUGGGUGGGUUUGGAAAGAUUUGUUUUGGUGGGGGAUGGGCUCGCGGCCUAUCAGCUUGUUGGUGGGGUGAUGGCCUACCAAGGCUUUGACGGGUAGCCGGCCUGAGAGGGUGGACGGCCACACUGGGACUGAGACACGGCCCAGACUCCUACGGGAGGCAGCAGUGGGGAAUAUUGCACAAUGGGCGCAAGCCUGAUGCAGCGACGCCGCGUGAGGGAUGACGGCCUUCGGGUUGUAAACCUCUUUCGCCAGUGAAGCAGCCGCUCUUUUUUUGGGGGUGGUGACGGUAGCUGGAUAAGAAGCGCCGGCUAACUACGUGCCAGCAGCCGCGGUAAUACGUAGGGCGCGAGCGUUGUCCGGAAUUAUUGGGCGUAAAGGGCUCGUAGGCGGCUGGUCGCGU
RNAcentral lists this ribosomal RNA (484 nucleotides) under Actinomyces sp. RNAcentral's name for it is "bacterial SSU rRNA". It matches the Rfam family "Bacterial small subunit ribosomal RNA", at positions 108 to 588 of the family's 1533-position model. Lineage: Bacteria; Bacillati; Actinomycetota; Actinomycetes; Actinomycetales; Actinomycetaceae. The record is from RNAcentral.